RNAcentral lists this non-coding RNA (28 nucleotides) under Mus musculus (house mouse). Lineage: Eukaryota; Metazoa; Chordata; Mammalia; Rodentia; Muridae. The record is from RNAcentral.
UCCUUAUUGGUGCAAUGGACCAGGAUUC